CCUACGGGUGGCAGCAGUGAGGAAUAUUGGUCAAUGGCCGGAAGGCUGAACCAGCCAUGCCGCGUGAAGGUCAGUGCCCUAUGGGCGUUAAACUUCUUUUGUGCGGGAGCAAUAAUGGUCACGUGUGGCCAGACGAGAGUACCGUACGAAUAAGCAUCGGCUAACUCCGUGCCAGCAGCCGCGGUAAUACGGGGGAUGCAAGCGUUAUCCGGAUUUAUUGGGUUUAAAGGGUGCGCAGGCGGAUUUUUAAGUCAGCGGUCAAAUCGUGGGGCUCAACCCCAUCCAGCCGUUGAAACUGGGGAUCUAGAGUGUGCGAGAGGUAUGCGGAAUGCGUGGUGUAGCGGUGAAAUGCAUAGAUAUCACGCAGAACCCCGAUUGCGAAGGCAGCAUACCGGUGCACAACUGACGCUCAGGCACGAAAGCGUGGGUAUCGAACAGGAUUAGAUACCCCAGUAGUC
This 458-nucleotide ribosomal RNA is filed under the name uncultured bacterium. Its description in RNAcentral is "partial 16S ribosomal RNA". It matches the Rfam family "Bacterial small subunit ribosomal RNA", at positions 338 to 795 of the family's 1533-position model. The record is from RNAcentral.